RNAcentral lists this ribosomal RNA (1077 nucleotides) under Triticum aestivum (bread wheat). RNAcentral describes it as "partial small subunit ribosomal RNA". The record is from RNAcentral. Lineage: Eukaryota; Viridiplantae; Streptophyta; Magnoliopsida; Poales; Poaceae.
AUGCCUCCCCUCCACAUACUAGUACUCGGGCUUCUCCUCUUGCACACUCCUCCUUGGUGCUUCACUGCUGCUGCAGAUGAAGACACACUCUUAGCAGGCCAAUCGCUCACCGCUGGCGACAAGCUCGUCUCGAGAAACGACAAGCUCGCGGUCGGCUUCUUCCAGCCAGCAGCGAGCAGAAUCGGUAAGUCAUCCAACAAUGCCACCUCCCCCAGCUCCAGCUGGUACCUUGGCAUGUGGUUCAAUAAGAUCCCGGAUUUCACUCUUGUGUGGGUUGCCAAUAGGGAGGAGCCCAUCACCCACCCCAACCUCAACUUAACACAGCUCAAGAUCUCAAGCGACGGUAAUCUUGUCAUUGUCGUAAACCAUGCUGAUACCUUCACCGAAUCCGUUGUUUGGUCCACUCACAUUGUCAAUAGGACAAAAACCACAAACACUAGUGCCCUUGUUCUCUUGAACAAUGGGAACCUUGCCCUCACAUCUGAAAAGAAGAGGUUCUGGCAGAGCUUCGAAUACCUAACAGAUGUUGUGCUUCCUGGCGCCAAGUUUGGUAGGAACAAGAUCACUGGUUUCAUCCACCAGCUCAUCUCAAAGAAGAGCCUCAUUGAUCUGGGUCUAGGAUCAUACAACCUUGACCAAGAAGACACCGGUGGGUUCAUUCUCGAGCGCCGCAACAAACCGCUUGUGGUGUAUUGGCGUUAUAAAUCCUCCACAACUUCAUCUUUGAAUCUUUUACCAUUACUCACGUCACUCCUAGAUUCAAAACCUCAGACCAAAGGAUUAUUUAACAUAUCAUUUGAUGAUAACAUCCAGGAGGAGUAUUAUAUGUACACUUUACGGGAUGAAUCAUCGUCUUCUGCAUUUGUCUCACUAGACAUCUCUGGUCAGAUAAAGUUGAAUCUCGGGUCACAAGCUAGCCAGUCUUGGAAAACCAUAUAUGCCCAACCUGAUGAUCCUUGUGAUCCGCCUGCAACAUGUGGACCUUUCACGGUCUGUAUGAGAAAGCCGCAUCCAUCAUGUGACUGCAUGGACAACUUCUCUCAUAAGUCACCGCACGAUCGAGAUUUUGAUGAUUGA